UAGGGAAUCUUCGGCAAUGGACGGAAGUCUGACCGAGCAACGCCGCGUGAGUGAAGAAGGUUUUCGGAUCGUAAAGCUCUGUUGUAAGAGAAGAACGAGUGUGAGAGUGGAAAGUUCACACUGUGACGGUAUCUUACCAGAAAGGGACGGCUAACUACGUGCCAGCAGCCGCGGUAAUACGUAGGUCCCGAGCGUUGUCCGGAUUUAUUGGGCGUAAAGCGAGCGCAGGCGGUUAGAUAAGUCUGAAGUUAAAGGCUGUGGCUUAACCAUAGUAGGCUUUGGAAACUGUUUAACUUGAGUGCAAGAGGGGAGAGUGGAAUUCCAUGUGUAGCGGUGAAAUGCGUAGAUAUAUGGAGGAACACCGGUGGCGAAAGCGGCUCUCUGGCUUGUAACUGACGCUGAGGCUCGAAAGCGUGGGGGGCAAACAGGAUUAGAUACCCUGGUAGUCCACGCUGUAAACGAUGAGUGCUAGGUGUUAGACCCUUUCCGGGGUUUAGUGCCGUAGCUAACGCAUUAAGCACUCCGCCUGGGGAGUACGACCGCAAGGUUG
This 550-nucleotide ribosomal RNA is filed under the name uncultured bacterium. RNAcentral's name for it is "bacterial SSU rRNA". It matches the Rfam family "Bacterial small subunit ribosomal RNA", at positions 355 to 896 of the family's 1533-position model. The record is from RNAcentral.